RNAcentral lists this ribosomal RNA (450 nucleotides) under uncultured organism. RNAcentral's name for it is "partial 16S ribosomal RNA". It matches the Rfam family "Bacterial small subunit ribosomal RNA", at positions 335 to 801 of the family's 1533-position model. The record is from RNAcentral.
ACUCCUGCGGAAGGCAGCAGUGGGGAAUAUUGGACAAUGGGCGCAAGCCUGAUCCAGCCAUGCCGCGUGAGUGAUGAAGGCCCUAGGGUUGUAAAGCUCUUUCACCGGUGAAGAUAAUGACGGUAACCGGAGAAGAAGCCCCGGCUAACUUCGUGCCAGCAGCCGCGGUAAUACGAAGGGGGCUAGCGUUGUUCGGAUUUACUGGGCGUAAAGCGCACGUAGGCGGACUAUUAAGUCAGGGGUGAAAUCCCGGGGCUCAACCCCGGAACUGCCUUUGAUACUGGUAGUCUUGAGUUCGAGAGAGGUGAGUGGAAUUCCGGGUGUAGAGGUGAAAUUCGUAGAUAUUCGGAGGAACACCAGUGGCGAAGGCGGCUCACUGGCUCGAUACUGACGCUGAGGUGCGAAAGCGUGGGGAGCAAACAGGAUUAGAAACCCUUGUAGUCCCAUGAU